AUUGAACGCUGGCGGCAUGCUUUACACAUGCAAGUCGAGCGGUAACAGGCCUUCGGGUGCUGACGAGUGGCGAACGGGUGAGUAAUGCAUCGGAACGUACCCAGAGGUGGGGGAUAACGCAGCGAAAGCUGUGCUAAUACCGCAUGUGAUCUGAGGAUGAAAGCGGGGGACCGAGCAGCAAUGUUUGGCCUCGCGCCUUUGGAGCGGCCGAUGUCGGAUUAGCUUGUUGGUGGGGUAAAGGCCUACCAAGGCGACGAUCCGUAGCUGGUCUGAGAGGACGACCAGCCACACUGGGACUGAGACACGGCCCAGACUCCUACGGGAGGCAGCAGUGGGGAAUUUUGGACAAUGGGCGCAAGCCUGAUCCAGCAAUGCCGCGUGCGGGAAGAAGGCCUUCGGGUUGUAAACCGCUUUUGGCAGGAACGAAACGGUGUCCGCUAAUACCGGGCGCUAAUGACGGUACCUGCAGAAUAAGCACCGGCUAACUACGUG
RNAcentral lists this ribosomal RNA (492 nucleotides) under uncultured bacterium. RNAcentral describes it as "partial 16S ribosomal RNA". It matches the Rfam family "Bacterial small subunit ribosomal RNA", at positions 29 to 507 of the family's 1533-position model. The record is from RNAcentral.